CGGUCAUCCGAGGGGAGCCCCGACAUGGGGCUGAGAGUCCGCAAUCGAUGUCUGGCAACAGGCAUGGCAGCGCGGUGACCCUGCUGAACCUGAUCCGGGUCAUGCCGGCGUAGGGACGGAACACAGCGGCAAG
Molecule: non-coding RNA, 133 nt
Filed under: Acidisphaera rubrifaciens
Lineage: Bacteria; Pseudomonadati; Pseudomonadota; Alphaproteobacteria; Acetobacterales; Acetobacteraceae
Also listed under: 1 other name
Description: TPP sequence
Rfam family: TPP riboswitch aptamer (THI element)
About the family: Vitamin B(1) in its active form thiamin pyrophosphate (TPP) is an essential coenzyme that is synthesised by coupling of pyrimidine and thiazole moieties in bacteria. The previously detected thiamin-regulatory element, thi box was extended, resulting in a new, highly conserved RNA secondary structure, the THI element, which is widely distributed in eubacteria and also occurs in some archaea. Analysis of operon structures identified a large number of new candidate thiamin-regulated genes, mostly transporters, in various prokaryotic organisms.
Source: RNAcentral